GGGUCUAUGAUGAUAAACCAAAGUCAUGAAGAGAGGUGAUGACAUAAAAAUCAUGCUCACGGGGUUCCGCUGAGGCCG
This is a small nucleolar RNA of Mesocricetus auratus (golden hamster), 78 nucleotides long. Its record names the gene SNORD115. It matches the Rfam family "Small nucleolar RNA SNORD115". Rfam says of the family: HBII-52 is a member of the C/D class of snoRNAs, which contain the C (UGAUGA) and D (CUGA) box motifs. HBII-52 is encoded in a tandemly repeated array with another C/D snoRNA, HBII-85, in the Prader-Willi syndrome (PWS) region of chromosome 15. Lineage: Eukaryota; Metazoa; Chordata; Mammalia; Rodentia; Cricetidae. The record is from Ensembl.